This 429-nucleotide ribosomal RNA is filed under the name Fusobacteriota bacterium. RNAcentral's name for it is "Fusobacteria bacterium partial 16S ribosomal RNA". It matches the Rfam family "Bacterial small subunit ribosomal RNA", at positions 355 to 776 of the family's 1533-position model. The record is from RNAcentral. Lineage: Bacteria; Fusobacteriati; Fusobacteriota.
UGGGGAAUCUUCCGCAAUGGACGAAAGUCUGACGGAGCAACGCCGCGUGAGUGAAGACGGCCUUCGGGUUGUAAAGCUCUGUGAUCCGGGACGAAAGAGCCUGAGGUAAAUAGCCUAAGGAAGUGACGGUACCGGAAAAGCAAGCCACGGCUAACUACGUGCCAGCAGCCGCGGUAAUACGUAGGUGGCAAGCGUCGUCCGGAAUUAUUGGGCGUAAAGCGCGCGCAGGCGGCUUCCUAAGUCCAUCUUAAAAGUGCGGGGCUUAACCCCGUGAUGGGAUGGAGACUGGGAAGCUGGAGUAUCGGAGAGGAAAGUGGAAUUCCUAGUGUAGCGGUGAAAUGCGUAGAGAUUAGGAAGAACACCGGUGGCGAAGGCGACUUUCUGGACGAAAACUGACGCUGAGGCGCGAAAGCGUGGGGAGCAAACAGG